UUGCUCUUCAACGAGGAAUACCUAGUAAGCGUGAGUCAUCAGCUCGCGUUGAUUACGUCCCUGCCCUUUGUACACACCGCCCGUCGCUACUACCGAUUGAAUGGCUUAGUGAGGUCUCCGGAUUGGCUUUGGGGAGCCGGCAACGGCACCCUAUUGCUGAGAAGCUGAUCAAACUUGGUCAUUUAGAGGAAGUAAAAGUCGUAACAAGGUUUCCGUAGGUGAACCUGCGGAAGGAUCAUUAAUGAGUUUGAAUGGGUUGUUGCUGGCCUUUCGAGGCAAUGUGCACGCCUUUCUCAAUCCAACCAACACCUGUGAACUUAUGGGGAAGAUGAAGAGUGACGCUGGAUAACGGCUGAUCUCUAAGUCCUCUCUUCUUUACACCAAACUAAAGUUAUAGAACGUCCUUUGCUUAAUGCAAAACAAAUACAACUUUCAACAACGGAUCUCUUGGCUCUCGCAUCGAUGAAGAACGCAGCGAAAUGCGAUAAGUAAUGUGAAUUGCAGAAUUCAGUGAAUCAUCGAAUCUUUGAACGCACCUUGCACUCCUUGGUAUUCCGAGGAGUAUGCCUGUUUGAGUGUCAUGAAAUCAUCAACUUCAUAGUUUUGUUACUGUGAAGCUUGGACUUGGAAGCUGCUGGCUCUGUCGGCUCUUCUUAAAUAUAUUAGCUGCUUGUCCGUGGGUUGGCUCAGAGUGUGAUAAGUAUCUGCACUUGGUGGCUGCUCGCUUUGGAUGUGGCUUCUAAUCGUCUUUGGACAAUUUUUAAGAUCUGACCUCAAAUCAGGUAGGACUACCCGCUGAACUUAAGCAUAUCAAUAAGCGGAGGA
Molecule: ribosomal RNA, 825 nt
Filed under: uncultured fungus
Lineage: Eukaryota; Fungi
Description: eukaryotic LSU rRNA
Rfam family: Eukaryotic small subunit ribosomal RNA (bases 1-241)
Source: RNAcentral